Artibeus jamaicensis (Jamaican fruit-eating bat) is the source of this 6854-nucleotide RNA transcript. RefSeq lists it as uncharacterized. NCBI's taxonomy places the organism in Eukaryota, Metazoa, Chordata, Mammalia, Chiroptera, Phyllostomidae. The transcript has 3 exons. The record is from RefSeq and is a predicted model, not a curated record.
CGAAACCUGACACCACACAUUGCAGAGCCUCCUCUCCUUUCUGGAGGAGGCCUGGCUGAGCUCUGCGUCUAUCCGGCUUCCAGCCUACACUCGACUUGGCCUUCCUGCCCUGGAAUCAGGGCGCCUGGCCUCCAGCCCCUGCUGUGACCCCCAGCAGGCCCCCAGCAGGCCCCCAGAAUGCCUUCCAGGAGAGCAGUCUCCCCGUCUCUGAGCCAAGAGGCAGAACCCAGGUGCACGGCGGCUGCGGAUGGAAAAGGGGCUGGAGGCACGCCAGGGAGGGUGUGGGAGAGCCCUUAGCAAGCCACCGUGGUCCUGGGAAGAGCAGCGGCGGUUUGGACGAGGGGGGGACAGUGGGGACGUGAGAAAGCUACUGAGGAAACACCACGGAGAGGAACUGGAGGUGGUCCGGCCAUGCAGCUGAGGGGCAGAGGCGUCACAGGCCCCUGGGCCUUGCAGUCGCCCGGUGGAGGGCUCGCAGCGCAGCGAGUCUGGCUGAGAGAGUGGGCACCGGGGGCCAACCAGGGCCAGGGCGGGAGGGGGAAGGAUCGUAAGUUCGGCCUUGGACCGUGGAGGUCGAGGCGCCUGCCUGUCAGGUGUCCCGGAGAACAACUGGGCAUUCAGAGAGGAAUCAGCUGGAGAGGCACAUUUGGGGACAGAAAAACAGAGCCAUCCAAGCUGAGCUGGAGAGGACACCGCCAAGGGCGAGAGUAAGGCGUGGAGGGCCGACAGGCUGUCUGCAGCACACUGCUGCCCACGGCCAGGGAGUGGGGCCGGCGGGAGCCGCGGGAAGAACCAGCAGAGUGCUGGGCCGCGCACCACGCGCAGCAGGGCGUUUCAAGGAGCCAGGAGCAGUCGGGAGUGCGGGGAGCUCCUGGAACACUCAGAGGAGGAAGAGGGAGAGGGUACUUAGGCCUUGGGGACUGCAGGGGACACGUUCUGGUGGAGUGGGGGCCGUAGAGACCCGGCUGCGGUGGGGCGGCAGGUGCUGAGAGGCGAGGGAACAGGGCGUGUCCGGCGACUCCCAGGCUGGGGCAGCAACCGAAUGGGGUGAGACGUCAAAGAGAAGAUUCUUGUUUGGUCGCUUUUUUUAAAGGCAAAUGAGACUGGAGCACGUUUAUGAGGCGGAGUCUCAGGACAGCACCUGGGAAAGCAGGGAUGACAAGCAGAAAAAUGGGUUCCAGCCAGCAGGGGGCUUGCCCAGCCCCCCCCUCCCCAGGCAGGGCUGAGUUGGGGGCAGCGUCUGACCGUGACCUCCUGGCCCGGUGGCAUCUUCACGGCCCAUCUGCCACGCUGUUCCUGGAAGGCACCCCACCUGCCCUGUCCUGAGAGGAGAAACUGCUGUCGGAUGCUGACAUCAGGGAAGCAGAUCCCAGGGCAGCUUCUGAGGUGCAGUGGGUUCGAGGGGGCUCAGAGAGCACCUCCGACCCUGUGCACUCGGCUGGAAGGGGCGCUGCCCGUGAUGGCUCUGCAUGCCCCACGGCCAGAGUGCAGCCCCUUCGAUGGCCAAGUCCAUGCAGCCUAUGGGCCCCCCCUACUUAACCCUCGUGGUGGAGAGCAGGGACUGGAGACAGCUGCACAGGCAGGGGUGGGCGUGACUGGGGUAUUUAUACAUCUCCGGGAGGAGAGCCACGGGCCCCUGGGCCUCUCGUGGCACAGGCUCAUUGCCAGUGACAGGAAGCCUGUGACCUGCUGAUGACACCUCAAUCCCUUCAGUCUGGCCUGGCGCUACCACCUGGCACUUCCACCUGGCGCUUCCACCUGGCGCUGCUGGCCCAGGACAGUCCCAGGCAGACCAGAGGGCGGUGGUCUCGGAGGGCAGCCCCUAGACCAGGAGCCUCACCUGAAAACUCCCGAGAAACGCAAGGCCUCAGGCCCCACCCGUCACUGAAUCAGAAACUCUCGAGCGGGCCCAGCUGCGUUUAACAAACUUCGAGCUGAUCCUGAGAUGUCUCUGCCAUAAAUGUAUACACGCUUGUGUGCGAUGUAAGCCCACACACACAUGAAGCUCGUAACUCGAGUGGCAGAGGACCCUGCCGCAAAGCGGCCGUCUGUAUCAGGGGGGACAGACUUGGCCGGUGGGGCGCAGCCCCUUUCUGAGUUGGUUGGGGAGUCGGGUGGCCUCAAGCUCCAGAUUCCAUCCUGAACGAUGGGAAGCUCCUGUUCCUUUGGUUUUCCGUGAACUCUCCCCUCAAGCCUGCUGGUUGCCUCGGAAGAGCCAGGACGCGGAGAGACUGUGGUGCCCAGUGACGUGGGCACCGCCGGCCAUGCCCGGGCCCUGCCGGGAGCCCUCGUUCGUUAACGGGGUGGAUGCAAAGCCGCCUCUGCGGAGGGUGGGACUGGGGGCCACUCGCCCACGUGCGCCCUGUUCACACCUCACCCUCCUGGAGCAUAGGCCACCGCGGCCUCACACUUUCUUCACUCCGUCAUCUCCUGGUUUUCCCCGACCUCCCGGGCCAGCUGUCCUGUGGUGCUUAUUCCCCCAAAACUCUAACAAGGAGCUGAGUCACCCCGUCCAAGAGCCGCUCCUCUCCUCGAACCAGUUCUCCAUUUCCUUCUCCUCAGAGUCAUCGAUCCAGCUGCCUCUUCCCACGGCCACCUGAGCCUCCGUGGGCAUCACAACCGGCCGUGACUGAAACGAAACUCCUCUCCCUGCAGCCCCUCGAGGCCACAGUGGAAAAACCUGCUUCUCUUCUUCAGAAACGGGACUCCAUCGCCAGGGCUGCCCUGGCCGGAGGCCUCAGAGUCGUCCUCGACAGAAUGUUGCCUCCUCUCACACCCAGAGCCCACCCACCAGCACAUUCUGGGUCCCAGAGCGGCCACCUCCUCCCUGGGGAACCAGGGGACCCAUCUGGCCGGAGGACAGCAGGACAGCUCUCAGGACAGCUGAGCAGACGUCAGGACGGCACCAGGCGGUGCGCCAGUCGGGUGGGGACCCGCGGCGCACGGCUGCCCCCUGGCGGCCCUCGCCGGCCUCGCCCCGCGCCUGUCGCGCGUGAAGGGGCGCACACACACGGUCCUUUCCCCCAAAAGGCAUGACCAUUCCACUGCCCCGGGCCCGGGCCGUUGGAGGACCAGCCACGGAGGCGCUGGGGGGUGGGAUUGUGCCCGAUGAAGCGGGGCUUACUGCUCUUUUAAACGAUCGGAAAUGUGGGGGGGAGCUCUUCGUGCAAUCCUGGUAGAUUGACUGUGGGGGGUGGGGUCAUUCUCUUUGCAUACCUGCUUUUUCUCCAUUUUUCACGUUGGAUAUGCAUUACUUUGUGCUAAGAAAAAACUUCAAACUUCAUUUUUAAAGAAUUACUUGGGGCCCUGGCUGGUGUGGCUGAGUGGGUUGAGUGCCAGCCUACGUGAGAACCAAGGUUGCUGGUUGAUUCCCAGUCAGGGCACAUGCCUGGGUUGCAGACCAGGUCCCCAGUAGGGGGCGCAGUGAGAGGCAACCACACAUCAGUCUUUCCCUUUCUCCUUCCCUGCCCCUCUCUCUAAAAAAAAUUUUUUUUAAAGAAUCACAUGGGGGUCUAAUUUGUCUGUCAAGGAAUUUCUGCCAGCUUUGGGCCUAGUUUCUGGUAUCUCUUUGCAUGAAGACCGCGGGAGAAAUGGGCUCUCGGACUUAAGUGUUUGGGGUCGAUGAGCCAUCCUUCACAUAUGCUGGGACUUUCUUUAAGAAGAAAGGAAGGAAAAAUUGUCCCCAACCUCAGGAUAGAGUGGGGUAAACGCUCUAGCUGGACCAGAAACUCGUUUCCCUGUUGUCUCCAAGGACACGCGAGGAAUAUAUCAAGAACCAUUUGAAGACGGGGACUUAUUUCAGAAAGAGGCCAUCAAAAGCUGGCCAUUACUAAGCACCUACUAGGUGUCACGUGCUGGCAAUACAGCCCCAAAGCCAACGUCUGUCCCUAAGGGGCCCUGGGCUUGCCCGUGAGAAGAUCCUCAGCGCUGUGGCCCCCGGAGCCUCCUCCCCUGCCGCUGCCCGAGUCAGCGAGAAUGUCGGGAGCGGCGGCCCUGGGGGCUGAAGAGCGUCUGGCUCUUCCACUGAGGAAGCCACAGGAUCCCGGAGGGGAAAGCAGAGGCCGGGGUCCUGCAGGCUGUGCUGGGAGGCAGCCGCGUUACAAGCCCUUGAGACCCACCCACUUCACCACCUGGCUGGGCCCCCGAAGAGCUGGCGGGACUGGGAAAGUGUGAAGGUUUCUGGGCGGAGCCCCCACCCUAGGACCCCAUUUGUUCGUUCAGCCAUUCACACGCAUGUCAAAUGCCUGCCUUUGCAGGACACCUGGGAAGUGACACCUGCCCAUGGAAGGGCAAAGAGAGCACCCUGGUGUUUCCCAAACUCUCCCGAGACCCACCUCAGUCACCUGUGGGAUUUUCUCAAAAGUUGUCAGUCCACCCGAAAAGUCCCCACGUGAGCCCUGGCCCAGCCGCAGUGGAAAGCCCCUUGUCUUGUGACUUUCUAAAGCAAAUGCACCAAGAUGAAACACUGGGGGUGAAGCGUGUCUCUGCAACACGGAGAAAAUGCCAUGGGCACCGUGUGCCUCCAGGUGUGACACUCAGAGGGCCGUUACCUGGGCAGUCUUCACUCAGAGAACGCAGCCCCCAGUCUGGCUCACUCCGGGUGGCGCAGUAAGGCAGAACCCCGGUCUGAAUGUCUCUGGAAUCAGCCUCCUUUUCCAGCUCCGAGCUUUGAAGGCCGAGCCCUGCCCACUCAUACUCUAAGGAAGCCGUUCGCUCUGUCCCUGUGAGCAUCUUCCCACUAACCGUGCCUUGAGGAGUAUGAGGCCUCGGGAUUCAGGAAUGAAACCUUCACCCAGGCGCCGUUCUUGACUAGCUUGUGCAUUCCUUGCAAAUUCCCUGCAGAUGGGAACAGAGAGCCCAGUGGGCAGCACCGGGCAGAGAUGCUGGUGAGAGAAGGGGCUGGGCCUGGCCUUCACCCCCAAACCAGUCUGUGGGCAGACAGUGUGUCUUCUCAGGGGAGCUGGCCCAGGACGGUCCUGGCUGACCCCUCAGGAGGGGCAGACGCCAUGAGAACAGAGGAGGGGGUCCAGCGAGACCUGCUCUCAGAGACCCAGUGUGGGCUGCCAGUCAAAGCAGAAAGUACUGGCUGUGGAGACAGGCAGGGUGACACAGGACAGGAAAUGGGGGAUUCAGAGAAGGAGCUACUGGGCUGGGAACUGAACGGAAGGGGGUUUGCUAAACAAACCUUCCCUCUCCCCACUUGUCACAUCCUGGGCCUUCAAGGGGCCUGUGGCCUACUAUUAAGGAGGUGGACACAGCCAGGGAGGAAGGUCUUCAUUCCUGUGGGCACCCAACCCUAAGAAGCACUGUGCUGGGUCUAUGCGGUGGGGGCAGAAACGGAAUCUGAAGCCAGCCUGGCUGGAACUUAGUGUCCACUGCAAUUUACCCAUGACCCAGGGCCAAAGACUCGGCCCUCAGAAAGGUCAACAGAAGCUGAGUGUGGGACUAGAGCGCGGACACGAGGGUAGCUGGGUGAUGGGAUAGAAACACCAAGAUAAAAAUGUUUGGCGUCCUAACGUAUUUAAAGGAUCUGAGAGGAGGGAGGUGGGGUGACGAACUUCACCCUAGAAAAGGCCAGGAGUUCCGGUGUGGAUCUGAUUUGUCCCAUCCGGUUCCUUCUCUGCCAGCUAAGAGGCUGGAACCCGUUGACCCCUAGAGACUAGCCAGUCAUGGCAUUCUUAGAGGCACUACUGUUAUAAACAGUAAACAGCUCAAAUCCUGAGUGUGCAGUUAAUACAUUUUACUUGUAUAACCACUACCCAUUUUCAGCUUCCCAGAAGGUUCACUUGUGCCCUUUUCCAGUUAACAUCCCUCCUACUCCCCCCAGCACACCCCUGGGUAACCACAAUUCCAGCCUCAAAAUGCACAGAUCAGCUGUGGCAGUUCUGAAAGUUAAUAUGAAUGAAAUCAUUCGGUAUGUUCCCUGUUUGUCUUUGCUCAACAUAAUGCCUGUGAGAUUCAUCCACGUUGCCUCAUCUCUCAGGGAUGUGUUACUUCAGGUGAAGUGUAGCACCCUGACUACACAACUCACUGAUCUGUUCUCUACUGGUGGGCCCUCCAGUGGCUUCUGGUCCGGGGCCAUCCUAAGCAAAGUGGCUGUGACCCUCCUUGCAGGGUCUUUGAUGGACAUGUGGCUCUUUCACCCGGGAGUGGGGCCGCUGGCCCAGAGGUAGCUGUUGUAUUGACUUUAGUAGGUACGACCAGAAAGCUUUCCAGAGUCGAGGGGUAACUUUCACAGGUCUUGAAAUGAGUAUAUACAAGAAGUAGAGGGGGAGAGGAAAGAAACAUAUUCCUUAAACUAUUAUUCCCAAGACUGAUUUUUUCAUUAAGUUUUGAGCACCUCCUAUGAACUGGUAGCCUCAUCCACCAGCCCCUCCCAUGGGGUCUGGCCUUAAUGAACCUAAUCCUCACUCCCCGAGGGCCGCUGUGCCUUCAAGACAUGAGGGGCACCGACACCCUACGAGAGGCCCAUCACCAGCUGCUUAAUGGCUCUGAUGGACCCUCCCUGCAUUUAGCCACUCAUGGAAAGAAUUUAGGGUCAUGGUGGCUUUCACAUUUCACACCUCAGCAACUGCAUCUCAGACCUUCAGACAGAUCCGAAGGAAUCCCCUUCCAUCUGCGUUGCACAAGCAUUUGCAGUUUCUGAAGCACAACCCCGACACCAGUGCAGAAGCUCCUGCUCACCGCUCUCUGCCACCUCACAGUGCAGUCGGCCUCCCUCCCUUCCAAGUGUGCCCCACUCACACCAAAGAGGUCAACCCCUGGGAUGCACUGCAGGGGUGUCCAACCUGCAGCCCACGGGCUGCACGCAGCUCGGAUAGCUAUGAAUGUGGUCCAACACAAAAUCAUAAAUU